GACGAACGCUGGCGGCGUGCUUAACACAUGCAAGUCGAACGAAGUGGCGAACGGGUGAGUAAUACGUGGGUAACCUGCCCUCCUUUUUGGGAUAAGCCUUGGAAACGGGGUCUAAUACCGAAUAAAGGGGGAUGGGCUCGCGGCCUAUCAGCUGGUUGGUGGGUUGGUGACCUACCAAGGGGGGGACGGGUAGCCGGCCUGAGAGGGUGACCGGGCACAUUGAGACUGAGAUACGGCCCAGACUCCGAAGGGAGGCAGCAGUGGGGGAUAUUGCACAAAGGGCGAAAGACUGAUGCAGCGACGCCGCGUGGGGGAUGAAGGCUUUCGGGUUGUAAAACUCGUUCGCUAGCGAUCGGGUAGGUGGAGAAGAAGCGCCGGCUAACUACGUGCCAGCAGCCGCGGUAAUAC
RNAcentral lists this ribosomal RNA (408 nucleotides) under uncultured bacterium. RNAcentral describes it as "partial 16S ribosomal RNA". It matches the Rfam family "Bacterial small subunit ribosomal RNA", at positions 28 to 526 of the family's 1533-position model. The record is from RNAcentral.